This 497-nucleotide ribosomal RNA is filed under the name uncultured bacterium. RNAcentral's name for it is "partial 16S ribosomal RNA". It matches the Rfam family "Bacterial small subunit ribosomal RNA", at positions 28 to 507 of the family's 1533-position model. The record is from RNAcentral.
GAUGAACGCUGGCGGCGUGCUUAAUACAUGCAAGUCGAGCGAACGGACGGGAAGCUUGCUUCUCUGAUGUUAGCGACGGACGGGUGAGUAACACGUACGUAACCUACCUAUAAGACUGGGAUAACUUAGGGAAACCGAAGCCAACACAGGACAAUAUUGUGAACCGCAUGGUUCAAAAGUCAAAGACGGACUUGCUCUCACUUAUUGAUGGAUCCGCGCUGCAUUAGCUAGUUGGUAAGGUAACGGCUUACCAAGGCAACGAUGCGUAGCCGACCUGAGAGGAGGAUCGGCCACACUGGAACUGAGACACGGCCCAGACUCCUACGGGAGGCAGCAGUAGGGAAUCUUGCGCAAUGGGGGAAAGCCUGACGGAGCAACGCCGCGUGCGGGAUGAAGGUCUUCGGAUCGUAAAACUCUGUUAUUAGGGAAGAACAUCUGUGUGCGUAAAUGUGCACAUCUUGACGGUACCGGAACAGAAAGCCACGGCUAACUACGUG